GAUGAACGCUAGCGGCAGGCUUAACACAUGCAAGUCGAGGGGUAUAUGUCUUCGGAUAUAGAGACCGGCGCACGGGUGCGUAACGCGUAUGCAAUCUACCUUUCACAGAGGGAUAGCCCAGAGAAAUUUGGAUUAAUACCUCAUAGUAUAGUGAGUUGGCAUCAACACACUAUUAAAGUCACAACGGUGAAAGAUGAGCAUGCGUCCCAUUAGCUAGUUGGUAAGGUAACGGCUUACCAAGGCGACGAUGGGUAGGGGUCCUGAGAGGGAGAUCCCCCACACUGGUACUGAGACACGGACCAGACUCCUACGGGAGGCAGCAGUGAGGAAUAUUGGUCAAUGGGCGCAAGCCUGAACCAGCCAUGCCGCGUGCAGGAUGACGGUCCUAUGGAUUGUAAACUGCUUUUGUACGAGAAGAAACAACAUUACGUGUAAUGUCUUGACGGUAUCGUAAGAAUAAGGAUCGGCUAACUCCGUGCCAGCAGCCGCGGUAAUACGGAGGAUCCAAGCGUUAUCCGGAAUCAUUGGGUUUAAAGGGUCCGUAGGCGGUUUAGUAAGUCAGUGGUGAAAGCCCAUCGCUCAACGGUGGAACGGCCAUUGAUACUGCUGAACUUGAAUUAUUAGGAAGUAACUAGAAUAUGUAGUGUAGCGGUGAAAUGCUUAGAGAUUACAUGGAAUACCAAUUGCGAAGGCAGGUUACUACUAAUGGAUUGACGCUGAUGGACGAAAGCGUGGGUAGCGAACAGGAUUAGAUACCCUGGUAGUCCACGCCGUAAACGAUGGAUACUAGCUGUUGGAAGCAAUUUCAGUGGCUAAGCGAAAGUGAUAAGUAUCCCACCUGGGGAGUACGUUCGCAGAAUUAA
Molecule: ribosomal RNA, 863 nt
Filed under: uncultured bacterium
Lineage: Bacteria
Description: bacterial SSU rRNA
Rfam family: Bacterial small subunit ribosomal RNA
Source: RNAcentral